Molecule: long non-coding RNA, 2639 nt
Filed under: Rattus norvegicus (Norway rat)
Lineage: Eukaryota; Metazoa; Chordata; Mammalia; Rodentia; Muridae
Description: long non-coding RNA NONRATT004577
Source: RNAcentral
CUGAGGAGAGGAGCGUGGGACAGAAAAGGGAAAGGAGGAAGUGGGUGGGGCCUGGGCCCCGCCCUGCACAGCCCACGCAUGCCCAAGCCCAGAAGCUCCAGUGGAUCCUGACAGCUGUUCUUAUUUUCUCCACUGACUCACAGACGGCAUGGACUGAGUCCAGCCCAGGUCGGGGUGCAGGUUGCUCCUCCCUCCUCCAUGAUCUCUCCUCCUUGGCUGUUUGAGGACUGCACUAAUGGCUGUGUGUGACUCCUGUAACUUCUCAUUAAAGAGGCCUCCCUUUCUCAAGUGUGCCCUUAACCAAGCUUUCCAAAGACCGCUUUCCCGCCGUCAACAGCCUGAUACAAAGGAUCAACCUUAGGAAGCGGCGCGACUCGCUCAUCCUUGGAGGCGUCAUUGGCAUCUGCACCAUCCUGUUGCUGCUGUAUGCAUUCCACUGAGAGGUCGGCCCCAGGACUCUGCCCACCGCCUCUGCGGCCUGCUUUGGAAUGGGGAACCUGCAAAGGAGAGAGACCGUCCGGCCAUGAGCCUGCCAGCAGAUGAAUUCUAAACUGCACCGUGGCUCUGACCUGGUCGGCCUGAGCUGAAGCCACAGUUUUUCUGUGCUAUCUUUUCUAAUACAUAUUACUCUGUUUUUAAUUUUAAAAACAACAAAAGGUUUCAGUUGCUGCAUCUCCCUAGGAGGUAAGCAAGCAGAAGCUGAGAACCUGGGCUUUAGUGACUGGUGAAGCCAGAUGACCAGCGGGCCUCAUAGCUGGACUCCUCACAGCACCAGGCUCUACAUCCAAAGAUGGCCUCACUUUCAGCCACGAGAUUGGAUGUGAAUAAAAAUAAUUCUUGUCCUUUUAUUUAACACUUGUGAUGAGAAGUCAGCUGUCCUUUGCUGAUACUCCGUGAUCCAUACUCUAUUCUGUGUCCCUAACUCUUGGCAGUCAAGAAAAAUUCCAUUUCCCACGGAUUCUGUAAGAUGUUGGUAGGCCAGCUUCAUGUUUGAGGCGGUCUGAAAUGGAAAGUGCUAUAGAAAGGGUGUCUCUUUUCUGUUUCAGUUGUGAGCCCUGGGUCAACUACUGCCACCAGCACAUCAGAAUGGCGGGCCUUACAGAGGAGCUGGUCAUUGCUUUAUUAUUUCUUCCCUUGGGCUGAUAUUUGCUUGUAUUGAUAAAAAUGCAUUUCCAGUGAUAGCCCGUCAGUGACUGUCAUCGGCCCUCGAAGUCCCAUAUCAUGUGAAGCUUAAUACUAGGAACUGAAGGAGGGACUUGGUUCUCUGUGAGGCCUGCUCGUGAGCCACUGUGAGAAGACAGUGAGGGGCGGCUCUCCAGGGCUUCCCAUCUGUCAGUGUUGUGCAGCCUAGAGCAAGGGUUAGCACCGCCACCUGAUGUCACAGUACUCAUGCCCUGUGCAGAUCUAUCCCCUCCUCCUCUGUUAGGCUUCUUCCUACUCCCAGGCCACAGGAUGACUACUGAAGGGGCCGGUGACUCCUACCUGUGGCUAUCUUACUUUGGACAGUGACAGAAUUGUGAAUGCUUUUCAAGGUUAGCCAUUUCUCAGCAUCUGUAAAUCGGUAACUUGUCUUACUCAACUAGCAGAUAUGUUAAAGACUCCAACAUGUGUGCUCACCAAGAGAGAAGGCUUCCGGUCCCCCUGGAAUGUCCUCUAGCACAUUGUCCACGGGCAGUGAGAGGAUAUUAGAGCGUAGCACUUCACCAUUCUGUGGUGCAGGAUGGUGCCUCUGGGCCAACUUGAUACACUUACUGCUUGCUCCUGGAUAGACUGACACCCAGUCUGAGACUGACUGACAGGUUUGAUAUUCUGCUAUUGAAGUGUUAGUACAUUCUGGGUAUGAAAGGCAUUUGAUAUAUUUUUCUUAAUUAUGGGGUUUAUUUUUCUAAAUAUGGGUUAAUCGGCUUGUUGACUGGGCAUGCCCUUUAAAGGAAAUUAAAUUUCCCUCUAUGGACCUUAAAGAAUCAGGGAAGUUCGUUUGUUAAAUUCUCUUUUAGAGAGAACAGAACUUCUCUUCCCUGACAUUUCAUUAUCUUUGAUUUUUUUCAAAGGGCCUUGAUUGGCAGUUGUGCCUCAGCAGGACUUUAUGGGACUUUGGUUGUUAUAUAGUGGGCAUAUAUAAAAUCUGAAGUAUCAUAAAUAAAGUUAUUUAUUUAAAUAUACAGCCAGUCUUUUCUCCUGGUUUGAUUAUGUGCUUCGUUCACUCUAGCUGAUGAGUGAACGGGAGCUAGGACAUGGCCCUGCCCCACUGCCACAGCACAGCUGCUGGCAGCAGACGGCCGCCCAGGAGGCUGCACUCAGAUGAACAGUAGGAUUAUGUUGCUUGUUUUCUUUUUGAGAGUAAAUCAGUUCUUUCAGGGAACGCUAGCUGUAGACGCUGGAGACAGGAGUCUGACCUCCCAUUGUGGUACCCUAGAGGGAAGACUGCUCCUCCCCCUCCCAUUCCACCCUUUCCGGUUCCGCCCUCUACAGGACCUGUGGUUGCCAAUUUGAACUUCAGUUUUAUGAUAGUCAAUAUUUUUUUUCAAGUUCAUUUCUCCCAUCUUGGGCUUACCCAGUUAUCAGGCUUGGGUGUUGGCAGUGAAGAAGUUCUUAUCAGAGCCUGAGGUAAGAGGAUUUUUUUAUUUGUGAUCCCAAGG